Long non-coding RNA from Grus americana (Whooping crane), 2653 nucleotides. RefSeq lists it as uncharacterized. Lineage: Eukaryota; Metazoa; Chordata; Aves; Gruiformes; Gruidae. The record is from RefSeq and is a predicted model, not a curated record. The transcript has 6 exons.
CCUGCCGGGCGCGCUUUGUCCCACCGUGAGCGCGGGUUUUCCGCGGCGUGGGGCAGGGAGCGCCCGGCACCCCCGCCCCGGUUGCCGCGGAGGUUUCGGCCGGUUGCUGCCGGCGGAGCGGCGAAGCUUCCCGUAGGAAAAGAGCCUCGGGCUCGCAGGCGGCAGGGGAAUAAACUGAGGAGAAGGAAUAACGUCCUGCGGAGGGACGGACGGCAGCGGAGCGCUGCAGGGCGCUCGGCGGCAGAGACACCAGGAAGGAUUAAUGCUGCAAGAGACCUGAGUGACUUCUCAGCCUCCACAGAUGACCAUUAUACUGAUAGUUCCUGAACCAGUUUGAGGCCCCUACUUCGGAUCAACUCAUUAUCCCGAAUAAACGAUGUGUCAUUCCCAUUAUUUAUGUUUCACUGCAGCCAAAGUAUCUGGACCUCGUUUUGAUGUGCUGCUUUUUGGAGUUAAUAACACCACAAAGAAAGAGCUGGAGUUGCUGGAUACCUAAUGCUACUUCCUUUGGGGUUUCCUCACCCAUGAAAUACAGGUCAUAGACAGUCGCAGACAAUAAAGGAAAGGAAAACGUAAAUAACCUUGACUGGUUCCAAAGGAAACCUUCAAAUAAACCAGGAUCGUUGCAACACUGUCUGUUGAAAUACACCCAGGCUCCUAAUUGCCGUGAGGAACCAAACUCCUUCAUGCAGUCAAGGCUGUUAUCACUCCCACCAUGGCUCCAGCCCUUCUCCUUGGUCCUUGGGGCCCUAGCUCCUCUCUGCUUUCCUUGCUGCUUCCAGGCUGCCUUGCUCUGGGCUGUGCCAGUACUGGAUUAGGCUGAAUACAAGUCCCACAUUCUUUAUUACGGAGUCAGCAUUUCUUCCUCGUUCUUUGCCUGGCUGCUGCCCAGCAGGUUAUUUUGGGACCUACGCUAGCUGCCCCAGAGCACAGCCAUGCCAGGGAGGGUACUAACAGCUAAAGGCUGCCAAGGAUUGUUUGGCAGUGCCCGAGCCUGAAACGAGGUCCUGUUUUAUUUAGGACAUAGACAUAGUAUAAAUGUCCCCGAGGAGAAGAGCGGUAGGAGGGUAAGGUUUGUAAGUGUCCAGCACCAAAGCGCUGGCUGGGGGAAGGGGAGGCAUGGCUGGGCAGCAGCCCCUUGCAGCACUGCAAAUCCACAGGCUGGGGGUGGGAGGGACAGUGCUGUGAGAAGGAUUAAGUCCUCUGCACGUUUUCCUCCCCUUCCUCCACAGACUGGCUCUCAUCACUGCUUUCCCAAGCCAGGAUGGUGCCUCUGCUCUUGGGACGUGUGGUCCCCACACCUCCCCCUGAGUCAAGGCAAGAAGCAGCAGAACUGCAGCAGCACUGCAGGAUUGUCCUGUGGUCUUCGUGGGUUGGGACUAGGAGGCAUUGUGAGACAGGCGUCUCUCCUCACGCCAUUCCUCCCUGUCCCAAGACAACAAGCAUUGUAAGACCAUGGUGUGGAGACUAAGAUGUGAGUCAGGCAGCGAGUGGCAAGAGGGUGCAGAAGAAGGGGGCAGGAGGAGGGGAAGGAGAUGGGAUGGAAGAUGUGGGAUUGGAAACAGCAUGUGUGAAAUGGUUGGGAAAGGCUGAUUUGACUGAGCUUUCUGGGUAAGGGUUAAUCCUCCAGUUCUCUGAGCUGGUAAAGAAUACUGAUGUAUAGGUAUAAAGUGUGACUCCAUGACCAGGUACAGGCCCCGCAGCAUCUUAGUUAGGUGUCCUGCCUAUUCAUUUUAUUUGGAACCAGAAAUAUUUUUACCUUCUCUUGUGCACCUACUCUCCUUGUAAAACGUUGUGUCGUACUUCAGUGGCCCUUCUGCCUGUGGAGCCAGAUAGCCACCAAUGACUCGUAUCUCCUCUUCUGGGAUCCCAGCUUGGAAUAGCUUAUAUAGGCCUGAAUUUCUGCUCUGGAGCACAGUCCUUUAAAAAUCUCUUGAGCUGGGCAACUUUCAAUACUUGCGAUCAGGGACACAUGAUACCAUCGCACCUUCUCAGCCCUGCUGCGAUGGUGCAGGUCUUGGAAGAAGCCUGAGUGCCCUUAGAGCAGCCAGUGAGCAGAUGCAGUGGGGUUGCUGUGGUAGCUGAGCUGCCUUAUUUGAAGCCAGGGUAAAUCUGCAGGAGCCAGGGUAGCUACCCUCACAACCUGCAGCUGGGAGGACAUAGCAGCAGCUACAGGGCCAAUGUCCUGCCUCCGGCAGACGGCAACCGUGGAUGCCUGGAGAGCAUUAUUAAAUGCUGUGGCAGAUUCAUGACAUGUUGCUAGCUUAUUUCUUAACCUUUUACUUUCUAUUACAGUGCUUUUGUGAAAAAAAGAAAAAAGGUUAUUGUUAUACUUGAAUUUAUCAUGCUGUUGGAGAGCACUGGGCGUGAGUCAGCUUGAGGCAGUAAGAUGAACAAGAUGAGCUCUUGAAGUACCUUUCCAGACCUAUUUCUACAAGUCUAUGAGCAGAACAAAAUGAACUCAAGAUGUUUUCCCAGAAGAGAGCAAAUAAAGGAACCAUUUCUUUGAAUUCUGCACAGAUUGAAUAUAAAUAAAAUGAAUCCCACAUCUGGUCCAUUCUUUUUCAUUUCUUUAAAAAACAAAUACAAUAACGCCAUACACACACACAAAAACCAAGCAGGGAAGAUCAAGUCAAGGGUGCCUCAGGUUUUA